Molecule: long non-coding RNA, 743 nt
Filed under: Bemisia tabaci
Lineage: Eukaryota; Metazoa; Arthropoda; Insecta; Hemiptera; Aleyrodidae
Description: lncRNA ENSSSA2NGG007320
Source: RNAcentral
ACUGACGGAGAAACGGGAGUACAAGCGAAAGCUUGCUAGAAUCGUCGAGUGGCUAUGGAAGUCAGACUGUCAUUUAUCAACAUUCUCAAGAUGAGAGUCAUUGUGAGAGAUAUCUCGGGCAGCAAAAUACUCUAUCUAGACGGGGCUCCAUCAGUAGCAUAAAACCGCCGCCUCCAAUCCGCAGAACACCGUCAAUAAACCGUGUUCAGGGAUGUGGUGGCUUGGAUCAAUUUCCACCACCACCAGCAUACCUCUUAGAAUCCAGGUCCAUCAGUUCAUCCAUCCAAAGCAUGACAUCAUCCAUCGUGGCCGAACUCCAGCAACGCCAGCGAUCGCCCAGCAUGGACCGUCGCAAAUCAUCUCUCACGAAUGUAUACCCAUGCGGCACCAAAAAUGAUCCGUCUUGUUGCAAAAAUAAUAGGGAGAAUAUGUAUUCAAAGAAUGAACGGAGCUCUUUUCAGUCUAAGGCCGCAAUAGAAAUUGAAACUAAGCAGAUGAGUGUGGCUGAUACUGUGCGAGCAUUAACCGAGUUGAAACACCAGCCUGCUAGUCCCGUAUCUGUUCGUAGAUCCACCAGCAUCAGGUCAGUAAGUGCCGAUCGGCAUCCGUCCAAUAGUUAUAUCUCUCCCCGAAAACUUGAUCCUCGCUUAUGUCAUGACUCCCUCAUGGAGCAGAUCAAAAAGGGCACUCUCCUGCGCAAAACACGCACUGUUAAUGAUAGAUCUGCACCACACAUACAUUGA